GUGAGGAAUAUUGGUCAAUGGACGCAAGUCUGAACCAGCCAUGCCGCGUGCAGGAUGACGGCUCUAUGAGUUGUAAACUGCUUUUGUACGAGGGUAAACCCGGAUACGUGUAUCCGGCUGAAAGUAUCGUACGAAUAAGGAUCGGCUAACUCCGUGCCAGCAGCCGCGGUAAUACGGAGGAUUCAAGCGUUAUCCGGAUUUAUUGGGUUUAAAGGGUGCGUAGGCGGUUUGAUAAGUUAGAGGUGAAAUACCGGUGCUUAACACCGGAACUGCCUCUAAUACUGUUGAGCUAGAGAGUAGUUGCGGUAGGCGGAAUGUAUGGUGUAGCGGUGAAAUGCUUAGAGAUCAUACAGAACACCGAUUGCGAAGGCAGCUUACCAAACUAUAUCUGACGUUGAGGCACGAAAGCGUGGGGAGCAAACAGG
This 425-nucleotide ribosomal RNA is filed under the name uncultured bacterium. RNAcentral describes it as "bacterial SSU rRNA". It matches the Rfam family "Bacterial small subunit ribosomal RNA", at positions 354 to 776 of the family's 1533-position model. The record is from RNAcentral.